Molecule: long non-coding RNA, 754 nt
Filed under: Pan troglodytes (chimpanzee)
Lineage: Eukaryota; Metazoa; Chordata; Mammalia; Primates; Hominidae
Description: long non-coding RNA NONPTRT014476
Source: RNAcentral
GUGCCCACGAGAGAGGCGACUUUACGUCAGCGGCCUUGGGCUGAGAUUUGAGAACGCGACCAAGUGGAGAAUGUUGGAGCCAGAUUUUAAAAUCCUUGUCUUCCUUCUGCUUGCUACUUGAUCUAAAUGAGAUACGGCAAAGUCACAGAACCUGUUUUUAUGUUUUUGCCUGAUUCAUACGGGCUUCUCCGGUGAAGAUGGGCUGAAGUAACGCUGGGGUUGCUUCUGACGUUGUAACUCAUCCUGUAGCUGCAGCAACCGUGGUCCUUGCAACCUCAUAAAAAUGUUGCCAGCAUUGUUUCGAUAGUGCUGCUUAAUUCUUGGAAGGUUCUUCGGACUUCACACAUUCCAGCAGUAGCUCUCUCAGCUCCUGUCCUGCACAGCUUUGAAGUGCUGGAUGUCCUAGAUAAUCAAGUCAUGUGACUUGGGGGAGCAAGAAAGAGAAACCAGCAGUGGAGACUUAGAAGAAGCAGCUAUUGACAUAGGAUGGGUCCAGGAAUGUACAGUCUUCUAAAAGCCAGGUGAAGACAAUGUUUAAAGGAGGAAGGAGUGAUCAACAAUGUCAGUUCGUGUCAAUUGGUGUUACUUAGUCAUGUGUCUGUGAAGAAUCAUCUUGCAUAGUUAAGUCUCAGGUUCUAGUGUCAGAUUAAAUUUAAAUCCUUGCACCACCCCUUGCUCUUUGAGUGUCUUUGUGCAAAUUGCUUAAAUUCUCUAAGUCUCAAUCUCCCCAUCUGUGAAAUGGGAAUGACAGUAG